RNAcentral lists this ribosomal RNA (600 nucleotides) under Lysinibacillus fusiformis. Its description in RNAcentral is "bacterial SSU rRNA". It matches the Rfam family "Bacterial small subunit ribosomal RNA", at positions 82 to 668 of the family's 1533-position model. Lineage: Bacteria; Bacillati; Bacillota; Bacilli; Caryophanales; Bacillaceae. The record is from RNAcentral.
UCCUUCGACGUUAGCGGCGGACGGGUGAGUAACACGUGGGCAACCUACCUUAUAGUUUGGGAUAACUCCGGGAAACCGGGGCUAAUACCGAAUAAUCUGUUUCACCUCAUGGUGAAACACUGAAAGACGGUUUCGGCUGUCGCUAUAGGAUGGGCCCGCGGCGCAUUAGCUAGUUGGUGAGGUAACGGCUCACCAAGGCGACGAUGCGUAGCCGACCUGAGAGGGUGAUCGGCCACACUGGGACUGAGACACGGCCCAGACUCCUACGGGAGGCAGCAGUAGGGAAUCUUCCACAAUGGGCGAAAGCCUGAUGGAGCAACGCCGCGUGAGUGAAGAAGGAUUUCGGUUCGUAAAACUCUGUUGUAAGGGAAGAACAAGUACAGUAGUAACUGGCUGUACCUUGACGGUACCUUAUUAGAAAGCCACGGCUAACUACGUGCCAGCAGCCGCGGUAAUACGUAGGUGGCAAGCGUUGUCCGGAAUUAUUGGGCGUAAAGCGCGCGCAGGUGGUUUCUUAAGUCUGAUGUGAAAGCCCACGGCUCAACCGUGGAGGGUCAUUGGAAACUGGGAGACUUGAGUGCAGAAGAGGAUAGUGGAAUU